GGGGGGAGGCCGGAUCCUGGGCUGUGUCCCAGGGUUCCUGUGCUCCCGGGCCUGUGCUGUUGGAUUCAUGCUCCCAGCCUCGCCGCCCCCU
RNAcentral lists this microRNA precursor (91 nucleotides) under Canis lupus familiaris (dog). Its description in RNAcentral is "mir-8799 microRNA precursor family". It matches the Rfam family "mir-8799 microRNA precursor family". Lineage: Eukaryota; Metazoa; Chordata; Mammalia; Carnivora; Canidae. The record is from Rfam by way of RNAcentral. RNAcentral also lists the same sequence under 1 other name.